GCUGGCGUAGCUCAGUUGGAAGAGCAGCGGUCUUGUAAACCGGUGGUCGUGGGUUCAAAUCCCUCCGCCAGCUCCA
This 76-nucleotide transfer RNA is filed under the name marine sediment metagenome. RNAcentral's name for it is "tRNA-Thr". It matches the Rfam family "tRNA". From Rfam's summary of the family: Transfer RNA (tRNA) molecules are approximately 80 nucleotides in length. Their secondary structure includes four short double-helical elements and three loops (D, anti-codon, and T loops). The record is from RNAcentral.